AAUGUAGGUUAGAGACAUAGAACAAGGUUGGAAGCAUGUGCUAUAUAUAUACACCCUAGUGUAGAGAUCCGUGUGAUGUAGCGGGUAGAUAAUAGAAGUAAAAUAUAAAAAAUUUAAUAAAAUUGAGUGUGGCUAAGAUGCUUAUGGAAGCACGGAGGGCUCCGUGCUUCCACUUUGUUUUCGAUGUUCGGACUUUCGAAUCGACAAUCGGCUUCGUUAGACUUGAUCUAGAGUAUUUGAAGUAUCUAGCAAAAUAAAUGUUGCUAUUUUUCGAUAUCAUUUGAAUAGUGAUCGAAGUGGCUCAAAAUCAACGGCUGAAAAUAAAAAUCUUACAAAAUAUGAUGAUAUGACAUUAAAAUUUUAGAUCAAAGUUAUUGAUCUUGUUUUUUAUGGUAUAAAUAAUUUUCUAUCAAAAUUUCAUGUGAUUUGAAUAUUUCUACACCGUUAAACUUGCAACCGGCUCACCACGGCCGUUAAAAUUAUUGAUUUUGAGCCCUUUCAAUCACUGGGCAAAUGAUAUCAAAAAAUCACAAAAUUUAUUUUCUAGGUACUUCAAAUACUCUAGAUCAACUCUAACGGAGCCGAUCGUCGAUUCGAAAGUUCGAACAUCGAAAACGACUUGGAAGCACGGAGGCUUCCGUGCUUCCUUAAGCAUACCAGCACAACUCAAUAAAAUUUAUAUUUAAAGCUUAUUGAUAUAUAGAAAGCUAUAUCAUAUUAAACACAACAAAUUUGUAUGACUAAUUUCAACUCUUAAAAAAAUUAAAAUUAUAGUUAAAACCCACUCAUUGAUAGAAUAUUAAUAUGGUGCAUGUAAUUAAAUGUUGCACCUUAAUAUGUAAUUAGAUGAGUGGGAAGGUAAAGGGUUGGACGUUGAGAAUGAAGAUAACAUGCCAUGUGGUAAAAAAUAUUCUAACUUCAUAUAGAUUUAUCGAUUAUAGAUUUAUAGAUUAUAGAUAUGUGUGUGGAGAGAGAGAGAGAGAGAGAGAGAGAGAGAGAGAGAGAGAGAGAAUUAGUUUAAAAGCUUUAGCUUAGAGUAAGCA
Molecule: long non-coding RNA, 1043 nt
Filed under: Ananas comosus (pineapple)
Lineage: Eukaryota; Viridiplantae; Streptophyta; Magnoliopsida; Poales; Bromeliaceae
Description: long non-coding RNA (ACOM_LNC013811)
Source: RNAcentral